Molecule: ribosomal RNA, 252 nt
Filed under: uncultured bacterium
Lineage: Bacteria
Description: partial 16S ribosomal RNA
Rfam family: Bacterial small subunit ribosomal RNA
Source: RNAcentral
UACGUAGGGGGCAAGCGUUGUCCGGAAUUAUUGGGCGUAAAGCGCGCGCAGGCGGCCUUGUAAGUCUGUUGUUUAAACUUGGGGCUCAACCCCAAGUCGCAAUGGAAACUGCAAAGCUUGAGUGCAGAAGAGGAAAGUGGAAUUCCACGUGUAGCGGUGAAAUUCGUAGAUAUUGGGAAGAACACCGGUGGCGAAGGCGGCUCACUGGCUCGUAACUGACGCUCAUGCACGACAGCGUGGGGAUCAAACAGG